AUUGAACGCUGGCGGCAGGCCUAACACAUGCAAGUCGAACGGUAGCACAGAGAGCUUGCUCUCGGGUGACGAGUGGCGGACGGGUGAGUAACGUCUGGGAAACUGCCCGAUGGAGGGGGAUAACUACUGGAAACGGUAGCUAAUACCGCAUAACGUCGCAAGACCAAAGUGGGGGACCUUCGGGCCUCACACCAUCGGAUGUGCCCAGAUGGGAUUAGCUAGUAGGUGGGGUAAUGGCUCACCUAGGCGACGAUCCCUAGCUGGUCUGAGAGGAGGACCAGCCACACUGGAACUGAGACACGGUCCAGGCUCCUACGGGAGGCAGCAGUGGGGAAUAUUGCACAAUGGGCGCAAGCCUGAUGCAGCCAUGCCGCGUGUAUGAAGAAGGCCUUCGGGUUGUAAAGUACUUUCAGCGGGGAGGAAGGCGGUGAAGUUAACAGCUUCACCGAUUGACGUUACCCGCAGAAGAAGCACCGGCUAACUCCGUGCCAGCCGCCGCUGUAA
Molecule: ribosomal RNA, 504 nt
Filed under: uncultured bacterium
Lineage: Bacteria
Description: partial 16S ribosomal RNA
Rfam family: Bacterial small subunit ribosomal RNA
Source: RNAcentral